Molecule: long non-coding RNA, 1311 nt
Filed under: Anser brachyrhynchus (Pink-footed goose)
Lineage: Eukaryota; Metazoa; Chordata; Aves; Anseriformes; Anatidae
Description: lncRNA (ENSABRG00000010984.1)
Source: RNAcentral
CUUAUUUUCACCACUCAGGUUCUCACUACUCCCUUCUAGUCCUCCACAGAAUUCUCCUUCCAAGAGAAGGCAGAAGAGGUCUCGCCAUCCUCCCUCCCUCCCGCCAAGGGAAGGCUGCAGGCACCAGACACGGGAUAUUCAACACCCUUUAUCUUCUGCUUUGGCCUUCCCACGCCACACAAAGGCUCUGGCAUCACAGUGACGAUCUUAUCUUCACGCUGGGGUCUGGAGGGCAUUUACCAAGAAAACAAAUAAAUUGGAAAACCAAGAGACCACACAAACAUCAUAAACUUCAAAUCGCGCCAAAAUAAAUCAGAUGAUCAGAGAUUGCAGGACUGUGCAGAUGAUAGAGAGAUGCAGGAAUGAAGUAUUCCAGAGGCACAAUUACUGCAGGAGCGUGAAAUAGCACCUUUUAAAGGUCACAUUUUAGGGCUGUCUAAAAUUGGACCCCUACUGAGUACUUACAAUUCUAUCUGAAAUAAGUUUUCUGACACAGAUGGUUGGGGAGUUUCUACUCUGACUCCACAGCUCCAUGAUAAAAUGAAGGAUCUAGGACCAGCAAUAUUCCAAGAACACCUGUACCCAACUCAUCUGUGAUACCACGACUCUCAGAUAUUGUGACAUCCUGAAGAGGUAUUCUUCACUUAAGAUACAGUUUAAUUUCAAAACCAAAAUUCAGGAGGGAAAAAGCUCUCUUUCCUGGUUAUCACUGUAAGAUUCGAAGCCAUGGCUUUCACUCUAGCCACCCAACAUCAGGAAAUUGGGGACACCACUGGGGACAGCAGAAAAGCCUUAAUACAGCAGACAUUUCAAAACUUCUCCCACAUGACACCACCUGGAUGGUGUUUUCUAUAAAAGCCCACAGAUAGCUGGCAAUUCAAUUCCAUAAACUCUUCGCAUACAGCAUUUUCUCUAGUCUUGCUAACAGUGCCUGGAUUAUAAGCAUCUUUGGGACACAACCUACCUUCCAUCUCACAGUUGGCAUGCCGUCCAGGAGAAGUGCAACAGGAGCUUCUGCUUGAUUAGAUCCCAGGGUAAUGCUAUAAUUCAACUUAUUAAAGAAAUAUGUCUGAAGUCAGUAAGACUUCUUCAUGCACCAUAGUCAGUAGUUCUGUAGUCUUCAGGCAACAUGCCUAAGUCUUCUCCCCCAAAAUACAGUUACAUCAGUCCACAGGAGAGCUCAACCAUGUAGUAAACCAACUUCCCAUUCCAAAGAAAAUCUCUUAAUAUUAAUUACCAGCAUUCCCCAACUCUCCAGCCUAAGCAAACUUGAGAAUUCGUGAGAGGGUUCACACUAUAAACCUUGCACUC